Molecule: long non-coding RNA, 1451 nt
Filed under: Homo sapiens (human)
Lineage: Eukaryota; Metazoa; Chordata; Mammalia; Primates; Hominidae
Description: HSALNT0132231
Source: RNAcentral
GCCUCAGCCUCCAGAGGAGCUGGGACUACAGGCGCCCGGCACCAGACUCGACUAAUUUUUUGUAUUUUUAGUAGAGACGAGUUUCACCGUGUUAGGCAGGAUAGUCUCGAUCUCCUGACCUCGUGAUCCGCCCGCCUCAGCCUCCCAAAGUGCCGGCGUGAUUACAUGUGUGAGCCACCGCACCGGCCAGACACACUGAACUUUAAGGAAGUCAACUCACCUCACCGGCAUCAGGCAUCUUCAUCAGGAAAUUCUGUGAUGUGGUACACAAAGUUCAGCACUGUCACAGAGAAGUCAGAGAGACUGAUGGAUGCCUUUAAAAUAUCCUCAACGCUGCACGUAAAAGGCACGUGUUGCUGUGGGUGAAGAAGUUAAUAUGUGUAAUUAAUGUAGCCGUAAAGGAAAAUGGCAAUGUUGUAUUGAAUACUGAAUCUUGACUGUGGUGACCAUGCCAGGAAUAAGAUAAGCAGAGCCCAGUUCCUGCUUUGCCGCUAACUCAGCAACUCACCCAAGGGGAGCUGGAGAGUAUGCCAGAAAUGAUACAUACGGCUAUAAAGACAGAGUGUCCAAGUUUGACUCAGUUCAUCUCCGGGCUCUUCUCACUUCCGACAUUGCCCCGUUUUGUGAACUUGACUGUGUCUCUUUCUACAUUCUGGAAGCAACAGUGUAAUACUCUGCAGUUCUAGGUUCCCUAGCCUCAUUCAUGCUGUUGCCUGUGCCCCGCACUUAGCAGAUGAGCCAGUGGAUAAGGUUCUGCAGCUCUGCUUCCCAGUCUUUCUGACAUUUCUGCUCACAAUUGUUGAAUUACAAAGCACCAGCUGGUCCCUCGUCAGCAGCGGCCUCCACGCAAUCAUGGGAAAUGCUGCAUUCCGUCACAGGGUGCCCUGAGAUGUCCCUGCUCUGUUUCCUCUCUUCACCUUGCAAGGCAGCUGACAUCCUUUAUUUUCUCAUAACGUCACUGCCUGGAAUUUCCGCUUCCAUCAAUCCGGCAGUCCCACAGAUAUAAGAACCCAUGCAGUGGGCACGGUUUCAGUGUGGUGACCCUGUGCUCUAAAACCCUUUGUCAGGGGAAACACAGUUUUUAUGUAUUUGUGUCUGAAACAAAAAAUGACGGAACGUCACAUGCAAGUGGUGACCGUAGCUAUGUGGCUUUCCUGACUCAUGGCAGCAAACUAACAUCUCAGAUUCCAUCAUCUAACCCAGCCAACGAGGCACUGUGGAUCCUGCUUUCAAGUGUUUUCUGCAUUACUGACAGCAAAUUACUGAGAAGGCAGAAUCCAAUGAUAGCUUUCCAUCCUCAUUUUGCACCGUAUUUUCAGCUUGCUGCCACAUUUGUUUUCCUAAGGAGGUAAUAAAUAAAUUGGAAGAAACACUGAAAAUACAGCAAAGAGUCAGGAGUCUGGCUUCACAAUCUGCGACAGCUGAGGCCCAGACAUACUUAUUUUGGCACC